Molecule: ribosomal RNA, 293 nt
Filed under: uncultured bacterium
Lineage: Bacteria
Description: partial 16S ribosomal RNA
Rfam family: Archaeal small subunit ribosomal RNA
Source: RNAcentral
GUGCCAGCCGCCGCGGUAAUACCGGCAGCCCAAGUGAUGGCCGCUCUUAUUGGGCCUAAAGCGUCCGUAGCUGGCCACGCAAGUCCGUCGGGAAAUCCAUCAGCCCAACUAGUGGGCGUCCGACGGAAACUGCACGGCUUGGGACCGGAAGGCUCGAGGGGUACGUCCGGGGUAGGAGUGAAAUCCCGUAAUCCCGAACGGACCACCGAUGGCGAAAGCACUUCGAGAAAACGGAUCCGACAGUGAGGGACGAAAGCCAGGGUCUCGAACCGGAUUAGAUACCCGAGUAGUCC